RNAcentral lists this long non-coding RNA (587 nucleotides) under Monodelphis domestica (gray short-tailed opossum). RNAcentral's name for it is "lncRNA (ENSMODG00000039915.1)". The record is from RNAcentral. Lineage: Eukaryota; Metazoa; Chordata; Mammalia; Didelphimorphia; Didelphidae.
CCAUCUUCCUUGUUCUUCAGGUGCCUGAUCUUCUCUUCCUUGGGUUAAUGGACUCCUCGCUUUUUUAGGACCUGCCAGAUGAAGUCAGAGAGUUGGCUGAUGAUGCCCAGGUGGCAACUCUGCCACAGGUCUUGGAGCACAGCCAGGAGGACCUCCAGGAUCAUGGACAGCUUCUCCUCCUUCAUCCCCUUGAUGAGAAAGAAAAGAGCUCCAGGACCUUGAACAUCUUGAGAAAUUAUGAGGACAGCAUCCAUUACCAAUGGCAGUCAUAGCAAUGACCCUUGAAGAUCCCACCUUUGCUCUAAGAAGCCUAAGGAUAUUAUUAGCUGAGGUGAAGAUGUCCUCUUCCAUCAGAAGCCUCAUCUUGUCAAAUCACAGAGCUAGAAGGGACCUCAGAAGUCAUCAGUCCACUCCCUUCAUUUAACAGAUGAAGAAGCUCACACUUAAGCCAGGUGAGUGGUUUGCCCAAGGUGACAGAGGUAGUAAAUGGCAGAGGCAGCUAGAUUUGCUCAGACUCUAACCCUCCUUCCUCACCAUCACAGUACUUUUCUUGGCUACCUCAUCGUACUGCCUAUUGAGCUGGUAGU